This 229-nucleotide unclassified non-coding RNA is filed under the name plant metagenome. RNAcentral's name for it is "partial contains small subunit ribosomal RNA, internal transcribed spacer 1, and 5.8S ribosomal RNA". The record is from RNAcentral.
UCUCCGUAGGUGAACCUGCGGAGGGAUCAUUACAGAGUUCAUGCCCUACCGGGUCGAUCUCCCACCCUAUGUUAUUAUUACUUUGUUGCUUUGGCGGGCCGUUAGGCUCCGGCCCGACUACCGGCCCCGGCUGGUAAGCGCCCGCCAGAGGACCCAAAACCCUGAAUAUUAGUGUCGUCUGAGUACUAUAUAAUAGUUAAAACUUACAACAACGGAUCUCUUGGUUCUG